This is a non-coding RNA of Peromyscus maniculatus bairdii (prairie deer mouse), 541 nucleotides long. The record is from RefSeq and is a predicted model, not a curated record. Lineage: Eukaryota; Metazoa; Chordata; Mammalia; Rodentia; Cricetidae.
GAUUCCCGGUCUCUGCCUAGGUGACCCUGUGUAAAGCGCUUGACCCAUCUGAGCCUCAGUUUAACUGUAUAAUGUUAUCUAGGGUGACUGCUGGGGUUUUCGUCCUCCAAAAUCUUUGAGCUCGGAGCUUGGCACACAGGUCUCCCUGCAUAACCCUGGCUGACCUGGAACUUGCAAUGGAGACUUGCUGGCCAGUUUCCAACCCACAGAGAUCCUCUUGUCUCUCCCUCUGAAGUGCUGAGAUUAAAGAUCUAAGGAAACGAAGAGGAGGAAAGAAGCCAGAGCAUCCAUCCUAAGGAAAACGCUUCGUGCAUCGGAGGGAGACCAGCAAAGCAGAGAAGAGGUUGGAGGGAAGUCAGGGAGCCAACAGAGUAGGAGAUUCGUGGAGCCCGCGCAUGCUUGGCCUUGGAGUUGGUCACUGCGAUCAGUCGUUCUGUCCAUUCAUUUAUAACUUACAUUUAUUUAGUAUCUACUUUGAUGUUCACCAUGUAAUGUAUGGAGACAGACAAGAAGCAGGCAAACGAGCGAAUAAAGAAAUAAA